Molecule: ribosomal RNA, 253 nt
Filed under: uncultured bacterium
Lineage: Bacteria
Description: partial 16S ribosomal RNA
Rfam family: Bacterial small subunit ribosomal RNA
Source: RNAcentral
UACGUAGGGGGCAAGCGUUGUCCGGAUUUAUUGGGCGUAAAGAGCGUGUAGGCGGCUAGAUAGGUCCGUUGUGAAAACUCGAGGCUCAACCUCGAGACGUCGGUUGAAACCGUAUGGCUAGAGUCCGGAAGAGGAGAGUGGAAUUCCCGGUGUAGCGGUGAAAUGCGCAGAUAUCGGGAAGAACACCGGUGGCGAAGGCGGGUCUCUGGGCAGUAACUGACGCUGAGGAGCGAAAGCGUGGGGAGCGAACAGG